AGACGUGUUUUCCGUGCGGCUCUAUGGACAAGUCCCUUGGAACAGGGCAUCGUAGAGGGUGAAAAUCCCGUACUUGCCAUGGAAGUACCGUGCUUUGUGAUACACGCUCCAAGAGUCGAGUAGUUUGGGAUUGCUGCUCAAAGUGGGUGGUAGACUCCAUCUAAAGCUAAAUAUCGGGGAGAGACCGAUAGCGAACAAGUACCGUGAGGGAAAGAUGAAAAGCACUUUGGAAAGAGAGUUAAAAGUACGUGAAAUUGUCGAAAGGGAAGCACUUGAAGUCAGCCAUGCUGCUUGAGACUCAGCCUGGCUUUUGCUUGGUGUAUUUCUCGGUAGCAAGCCAGCAUUGGUUUGUGUCGUCGGAGAAGCGCAUGGGGAAUGUGGCAUCCUCGGAUGUGUUAUAGCCCUGUGCAGGAUACGACGACGUAGACCAAGGAACGCAGUGUGCCCUCUGGGCGGGUCUUCGGACACCUUCACACUUAGGAUGCUGGCGUAAUGGCUUUUAAGUGGGCCCGUCUUGAAACACGGACACCCU
RNAcentral lists this ribosomal RNA (532 nucleotides) under Malassezia restricta. RNAcentral describes it as "eukaryotic LSU rRNA". It matches the Rfam family "Eukaryotic large subunit ribosomal RNA", at positions 151 to 664 of the family's 3401-position model. The record is from RNAcentral. Lineage: Eukaryota; Fungi; Basidiomycota; Malasseziomycetes; Malasseziales; Malasseziaceae.